GCUUGGCUGCUGGUUUCUCUUUUGAUUUUUUUCCUGGGGGUGAGGUGGGGUGGAAGGAUAAAUAGCCACAUUACAUUUAAUUUGGGACAUUUAAUCUGCUGUCAGAUUUGACUCCAUGCUGAAGUUGGAGGAGACACAUUGUGUCAUGGCAGCCAGUCACAUUCAAUCUGCCGUCAGGACGCUGAGGUAGAUGAAAUCUUCUACUUGGUUUCCUUUCUUUUUACUCUGCCAGGACCCGGCUUGCAGAAUGGCACCAUUCACAUUUAGGGUAAAUCCUCACAGCUAAGUGAUCAAACCUAGAAAUGUCCUCACAAGCAUGCCCAGAGGUAUUCUGAGGUGAUCCUGGAUCGUGUUGAGUUGACAAGAUUAAUCGUCACCCUGGUCAUCGCUACUCCAAGAGAGAGGGACAGGCCAAUAGGAAGAGGGAACUGGAAAUGUCACCGGAUUGAAAACAUCCUCCUGUGGAGGUUCUACUCUGGCUUAGAAAACUCAUCCUUAUACUUCACAGCCCAGCCGUCAAGACGUUGGGGGUGGGAAUGCUUGGGUCUACCCAGUCCGGAAAUGCUGAUGGUGAACGGACGUACAGACACGGAUGGACAUGCACAAGCAUGCGCACCUCCUGGACGCUGCAGCUUCAACCCAAAGGCAACCUCCACCCUGUUCCAGCAUCUUGUAUCCUCCUGCAACGUGGUGUUUUUGUUUGUUUGUUUGUUUGUUUGUUUUUACUUUUGAUUUCUUACUGCAAAACAAUUGUCACCCAGCUGGUCAAACCCCGGGGUCACGUCUAUAACCCGGCUCUCCUUGCCAUCCCAUGAAUCAUCAAACGCCGCAGAUUUUCCUUCCUGUUAGUGUCCAAAAUCAUUUGCUGGUUUCCAUUUGCUUGGUUGAUACUUUGUUCUAGGUCCCUCUCAUUUUAGGUCUGAGAUGUUGCAGUUGCUGCCUGGCUGAGCUCCUGGUCUUCAGACGUGCUCCGUUCUAAAGGUGGAUUUGCCCUUUUACUGAACGAUCCUCAACUCCAGGCUACCUUGCUUGCAACCUACCCGUUGCAAAUGUUUGCACUUGAUUUUAUAUUUGCAGCUUUACAUUUUCAGUCUGCUCCAAAUCCUCUCCAUUUUGUAUUCAGUUGCCAGGGUAAUCUUCAAGAAAAAAAAAUGACUUUUUCUUUUGGGGGCAGUCUGAGUUUACAACAAAACAGAAAAGAAAAUACAGGCUUUCUGUGUCAGUCCUACCCUACUACCUCAUAAAACCUUCACACUCUUGGCUCUCAAUCCUGGAGGAGUACAUUUGUUAAACUAAUUGACCUAUAGUGAGCAAAGUGCCACUAUCAACAUAAGUUCUUCAUUAGAUAAAGAUGAAUUUGGGGGAUUAAAGUGGCAGGAGGUGUGAUCAAAGUACAUUAUAUUUGCAUGAAAAUUGCCUUAAAUCAUGUAAGUUAAAAGUAUUCUUAAAAUGCUAAUCCUUGAAAAAUGUAUUGCUGGCCUGGAGAGAUGGCUCAGUGGUUAAGAGCACUGAUUGCUCUUCCGAAGGUCCUGAGUUCAAAUCCCAGCAACCACAUGGAAAAAUGUAUUGCUCUAUCGUGUCACUUUCUACUUUAAAACUUGCAGUUGGUUAGUUGGGUGGAGAUGGCUCGUGUCUUUUAAUCUCAGCACUCGGGAGGCAGAGGCAGGCAAAACUCUGUGAGUUCGAGGCCAUCCUGGUCUAAAGAGUGAGUUCUGGGACAGCCAGGGCUACACAGAAAAGCCCUGUCUCAACCAUAGAAAAACAAACAAACCAUCCAGCUGCUCACUAAAGUACUUCCCGUUUCCCCAUCCUCAAUGUCCACGUUAGACCUCCGCUGCUCUCCUUGUUGUAUUUACUAACCUUAUUUCCCUAUAAUCAUUGGCCGAGAAGCAAGGAGCUCCACAGAAGGUGCUAGGUGCUAGCUGCUAGCUGCUAGCUGUUGACUCCCCAGGCAGUCCUGACUGCCACACUUACAUCUUUCCUCACCAUCUCCACAAACACUGUGAAUCUGCACAACAACAACAACAACAACAACAACAAAAGACGAGCCAAGACCUAAUAUGAAUGUGCAUCUGCUCCCGUCUGACUUUAUAAAUCUUACCCAGUUUAUGCCACCUGGUCAGCCUGUUCCUCCUGGCUAUAAUUCUGCCUGGCUCACAGCAGCUGUUUCUUGGAGGGAAAGGGGGAUAUUAACUAACCUGUGGUAUUAAAAAAAAUUAUAAAAUCUAAUAUAGGGUUGUCAAUUUUGUACUUUGACAAAUAAGAACUUUAAAAAAAAUAGCUACUCUCAUGUUGAUGCUAUUAAAGAAGAGUAAUUUUAUCUCUCCACGUGAAAAGUAUCAUCUCAGAAUGAUGGCCACUUGUUUAACUGCAGCACAGUUAGCGUUGGAAAACUGACUCUGUUUCCAGGAGCGUGUGGCUGUCUCAGGUAAUGAAAAGUGCUCAGACAGAGGGUGCAUUUGGGAGUUGGCGGCACUUUCUUCUUCCCCUCACCUGCUUACUACUUAAGCACUAGAGCCCGGGGGGUACAUUUUGCACUGUCAAGUCUUUAUUUAACUUCUUGUGCACACAUGUCGUUUCCUCAACUACAA
Molecule: long non-coding RNA, 2591 nt
Organism: Mus musculus (house mouse)
Lineage: Eukaryota; Metazoa; Chordata; Mammalia; Rodentia; Muridae
Product: predicted gene, 34050
Exons: 3
Source: RefSeq, a predicted model, not a curated record